RNAcentral lists this ribosomal RNA (506 nucleotides) under uncultured bacterium. RNAcentral's name for it is "partial 16S ribosomal RNA". It matches the Rfam family "Bacterial small subunit ribosomal RNA", at positions 29 to 523 of the family's 1533-position model. The record is from RNAcentral.
AGUGAACGCUGGCGGUAGGCCUAACACAUGCAAGUCGAACGGCAGCACAGGGGAGCUUGCUCCUUGGGUGGCGAGUGGCGGACGGGUGAGGAAUACAUCGGAAUCUACUCUGUCGUGGGGGAUAACGUAGGGAAACUUACGCUAAUACCGCAUACGACCUACGGGUGAAAGCAGGGGAUCUUCGGACCUUGCGCGAUUGAAUGAGCCGAUGUCGGAUUAGCUAGUUGGCGGGGUAAAGGCUCACCAAGGCGACGAUCCGUAGCUGGUCUGAGAGGAUGGUCAGCCGCACUAGAACUGAGACACGGUCCAGACUCCUACGGGAGGCAGCAGUGUGGAAUAUUGGACAAUGGGCGCAAGCCUGACCCAGCCAUCCCGCGUGGGUGAAGAAGGCCUUCGGGUUGUAAAGCCCUUUUGUUGGGAAAGAAAUCCAUCUGGUUAAUACCCGGGUGGGAUGACGGUACCCAAAGAAUAAGCACCGGCUAACUUCGUGCCAGCAGCCGCCGUAA